This 497-nucleotide ribosomal RNA is filed under the name uncultured bacterium. RNAcentral's name for it is "partial 16S ribosomal RNA". It matches the Rfam family "Bacterial small subunit ribosomal RNA", at positions 28 to 507 of the family's 1533-position model. The record is from RNAcentral.
GAUGAACGCUGGCGGCGUGCCUAAUACAUGCAAGUCGAGCGAACGGACGAGAAGCUUGCUUCUCUGAUGUUAGCGGCGGACGGGUGAGUAACACGUGGAUAACCUACCUAUAAGACUGGGAUAACUUCGGGAAACCGGAGCUAAUACCGGAUGAUAUUUUGAACCGCAUGGUUCAAAAGUGAAAGACGGUCUUGCUGUCACUUAUAGAUGGAUCCGCGCUGCGUUAGCUAGUUGGUAAGGUAACGGCUUACCAAGGCAACGAUGCAUAGCCGACCUGAGAGGGUGAUCGGCCACACUGGAACUGAGACACGGCCCAGACUCCUACGGGAGGCAGCAGUAGGGAAUCUUCCGCAGUGGGCGAAAGCCUGACGGAGCAACGCCGCGUGAGUGAUGAAGGUCUUCGGAUCGUAAAACUCUGUUAUUAGGGAAGAACAUAUGUGUAAGUAACUGUGCACAUCUUGACGGUACCUAAUCAGAAAGCCACGGCUAACUACGUG